UCGCCAUCUUCUUGUAGUUGUGGACAUUCAUCGAUAUAAUAAGAGUUGAUUACAUGCAUAAAUUUCAUACACUCUAAGCAAUCCUUUAAGUUGAAAAGGUGGUAUUGAUCCUUAAAUUCGAGGGAACUCUUGUUGAUCUUGAUGGAUUUGUCGAAGCAAUGAGGUCAUCUGAUCUCUCCAAGAAUUCUUGUUAAGGCGAAUUGUCGAAUAAAGAUACUUCAACAAUAGCUCUUGAAUAGGAAGUUUUUGUCUUGAGGUGUCAUGUUGCUUCUGCUAAAUCUGAGAUCACUUGCUAUGCUUUCUUCGGUGUCUUGUGGCAAGUGCUGCUCCACUAGAUGCAUCAAGCGAAGCCUUAUCCUCCAUAUGUAACUCCUCGCAAAAGUAGUUGAUAAGUACAAAUUUUUAAUUUGAUGGCAUGAGGAACAAAGCUUCUUAAACCUCUACUAAUAUUUAUAGUGUCCCUUCAUGCAUUUGAGUGAUUCUAGAAAUUUCUUUCCUUAUACAAUUAGUCAUUCAGGAUGGAAAGAAUUUCUUAGAAAAUGUCUUUUUGAACAACUCCUAAUUGGCAACUACCUCUUUUAAUAUUCUUAUAGUGAAAUGUUGUUUUGCCACUAACAAUGAAGUAGUGCUAUUGAUCCAGUUUAGGAGGGGGGGAGAACUAGGUCACAACUAAAGAUCCUUCUAGGAAAUGGUUAUUUUUGGGUUGGCAGUGUUAGUUUUGGGUUGGGUUGGUUGACAUGGUUCAUGAAAAAAAAAAAAUCAUAAAAGGAGGAAUGUAGUUUAGUUAAUAUAUCUAAAAUUUCUAUCUUUAUUAGAUAUUCUCUUCGCAUCCAGAUUUAAAUUUUCUAGGCAAGGAGUAAUUUGGCAAAACACAAACAUAUGAUCGUGAUUAUUAUGUUAAAAUAUAUUACUACAUCCAAAGAUUAGAGUAUUAGACCACUUUAAUUAUAACCCCUGAAAGUUAUAUCACUUUUCAACAAAGAUACGUGAUAAAUUUCAAAAAUAGGGGUGGUGCAAAAUAAGGUGUACCAAUCUUUGCAUGUCUCAGUGCUAAAGAUUCUUGAAAUUAGAGAAUUAAUGCGGCUGGAUUUCUCAAAGACAAUGAUUCUCAUUUCAAUACUCUUUUUCUAUAUAUUGAGCAUAUGUAUCAUGGAAAAUCAUCUUCAUUUGAAUCAUAUAAAGAAGCUUUGAGAAAUGCAAACAUCAUAAGAUAUUUGAAUUCAAUGCAAGUGUAUGUUAGUAGACUAUGAUGCUAUUCUUCUACACAUCCAAAAAAUUUUAAAUACUCAUAAUUCUCCUAUACUUAUUUAUGGAGGCUUUUAUGGUGAAAUGCUUGGAGCAUUGUUUUGUCUAAAGUAUCUUUAUAUUGUUCUUAGUGUUUUGACUUUGCUAAAAUCAAUUUUUUUUUUUUAUUAAAACAAGUGAAAGGUACUACCAUAUUAUACGAAAAUUUUGGUAUAAAAUUGAUGAAAUAGCCAGAAAAUAUCCUGGCCUCUUAAUUCUGAAUAAGAGAUUUCAUAUUUGCAAAAAAUUGAGAAAAGUUGAAGUUACAAAAAAUAUUUGAACCAUGUAUAUUACACCAUAGUUUAGUAUAAUAUACCAUUAGUUGAGAGAAUAUGUAGUGUUAUUAAUAAAGCAACUAAUAAAACAUAUAUGAUUGGUUAAAUAUUUGAAAUUGUUAUAGUUUAUAAUCACUACAAAAUUCUUCAUGCUAUGAUAUAAAUAAAUCUGAUUAUCUAAACAAACAAUUUUUAGAUGACUUAACAUGGAUUGAUAAGCAUAUAGUAAGAUGUUGGUCCAAUUAGUAUUUAUAAGAAUGAUUCAAUGUUUUGACUGUAUCCUUUUAGUAAGAAGGAUUAUAUCAAUUCAUGCAAGUAAGAAUAUGGCAUAAUUCUGCUGUCCCAUUAGGUAACAACAUAUUAUGGAGUCAGGAUAUAAAAUUGGUUUUCCAGCGAUUUGCUAACUAUAUCGUUUUCUCUAAUAGAUUGAAAGAUCCAUACAGCUCAGUCAGGGUGUUAGAGAGCUUAUCAAACAGUCUUAUUACUGUUAUCAAUAUUAAUGGAAUUCAUUCUUUGACAUAGUCUCAUCACAAUAAAGUAAUCCACAAUAGUUGAUCAAUCAAAGAUACACUAAGAUCAAUAUAAUUACAAGUUGGAUUGCACAACAUCAAGUUGAUCGAUUAAUUAGUUAAUAAAAUAAAUAAAUAAACAAAUAAUGAUAAAAGCUUUUUAUCAUUACUAAUUUAUUUAUUUAUUAACCAAUUAAUUGAUCAAUUUGAUGAUGUGCAAUCUAACUUAUAAUUAUAUUGAUCUCAGUGUGUCUUUGAUUAAUUAACUAUUGCGGAUCAUUUCGUUGUGCUAAGAGUACGUCUAAGAAACGAGUCUCAUUAACAAUUAUAACACCAAUAAGACUAUUUGAUAAACUCUCUAACACUCAGAUUGAACUGUAUGAAUUUUUCAAUUCAUUAAAAAAAACGAUAUAACUAGCAAAUUACUUGAAAAUCAGUUUUAUAUCCUGACCCCAUAAUAUGUUUUUUAGCCAAUAGGGUAGUGAAAUUAUGCCAUAUUCUUGCUCAAAUGAAUUGCUAUAAUCUUUCUUAUUAAAAAGAUACAAUUAAAACAUUAAAUUAUUCUUAUAAAUACUAAUUGGACUAACAGCUUGCUACAUGCUUAUCAAUCUAUAUCAAAUCAUCUAGAGAUUAAUUGUUUGUUUGGAUCAUUACAUCUAUUUAUAUCAUGGUAUGAAUUUUUUUUAUAAUGAUUAUAAACUAUAACAGUUUUAAAUAUUUGACUAAUCAUAUGUUUUAUUAGAUACUCUAUCAAUGACACUAUAUAUCCUCUCAACUAAUGGUGUAUUGUACUAAGCUAUAAUGCAAUACACAUGAUUCAAAUAAUUUUUCAUAACUUUAAUUUUUUUUUAAUUUUUUGCAAAUUUUAAAUCUCUUAUUGAGAAUAUAGAGACCAAGAGGCUUCUUGGUUAUUUUAUCAAUUUUAUACCAAAAUUUGUAUAGUACGGUAGUACCUUUCAUUUAUUUCUAUUAAAAUAAAAAAUUGGUGCUAACGAAGCCAAAUUACUAAGAGCGAUAUGAAGAUACUUUAGACAAAACAAUAGUACAAGCAUUUCACCAUAAGAGUCUCCAUAAACAAGUAUAGAAGAAUUAUGAGCAUUUAAAAAUUUUUUAGAUGUGUAGAAAAAUAGCAUUAUGGUUUACUAACACUUGCGUUGAGUUCAAAUAUUCCAUGGUAUUUGUAUUUCUCAAAGCUUUUUUAUAUGAUUCAAAUAGAAAUAAUUUUCCAUAAUACAUAUGCUCAAAAUAUAGAAAAAGAAUACUGAAAUGAGAAAUAUUAUCUUUGAAAAAUCCAACAGCAUUGAUUCUAUGAUUUCAAGAAUCUUCAGCAUUUAGCCAUGCAAAGAUUGAGGCACCUAAUUUUACACCACCUCAAUUCUUAAAAUUUAUUACGUACCUUUGUUAAAAAAUGAUAUAAUUUUUAGGAUUAUAAUUAAAAUGAUCAAAUCUUUGGAUGUAGUAAUAUAUCUUAACAUUAUCAUCAUGAUCAUAUAUUUGUGUUUUGCUAAAUUAUUCCUUGCAUAAAAAAUUUGAAUCUAGAUGCAAAAAAAAUGUCUAAUAAAAAUAAAAACUUCAGAUAUAUUAACUAAGCUUUCUUUUUAUGAUUUUUUUUGUUUUUGUUUUUUUGUAAUGACUAUGUCAACAAACCCAACUUGAAACUAACUUUGCCAACUUGAAAAUAACCUUACUCCAGAAGGAUCUUUAGCUAGUUGCAAUCCGAUUCUCCCUCGGCUCCUGAACUCGAUCAAUAGCACAACUCCAUUAUUGUUGGUGGCAAAACAACAUUUAAUUUCGCGCUUGAACUCGCUUGAGCUCCGUCGCCAGCUUCUUUUGAAUUUAUCGCUAGUUUGAUCGUUUUCCACUAAUGUCUACUCCAGAGUUUCCUUGCUCCUCUAAUAUGUCAGCGUGCGGGUUCGUAACUAUUUAAAAGUUUUGUAUUGGCCGAAAUUUGAAUAGGAGACUUGACGGAUGGAGAGCAGCUUAACAGCUUUUUGUUGUAUGUUAUGCUGCAGUUGGUAGCAGUACUCGUUAUUGGUUUUCUAGCAAGAUUGUAAUCAGAAACAAAUAAUUUAUUAAUUUUUUUUAACAAGACAAUCAUGUGGCGUCAGGUGUAAAGCUAAAAACCUAUGCGUCUAGUGUGUGAGACUAACUUAGAUUAUUUAGUUUCCUGUAACAAUGGUAUAUAUCAUCGUCAUAUAUAGUGCAACUAACAUAAGAAAGAGUUAGUACACAAUUAUUCUUCUUCUUAAAAGACCCUAACAUAGUAUAAUAAUUAUAAUAUAUAUCUUAUAAGACAAAUAUUUUCUUUUUAUUUCUAAAACUCCAAUGAUCUAAGAAAANNNNNNNNNNNNNNUGUUAUAAAAAAGAUACAAACAACGUUUUUCUCUACUUUGGUUUAUGAAUAAUAUUUUCUCCACUUUUAAGGGUAUAUAUGACUAGAUCUAUGCAGUUAUUCAACAUAGUAGUAAUUUUACGAGGUUCACAUUAACAUGCAUAAGUAGGGAAGGAAGUUACCUGUAAAAGUAUACACGAGUGAGCUCAGUUCAGAUCAGAAUUAUCAAACGAACGCUUCCAACUCUUUCUCAGCAAUUACAAUAAGCUCUCUCCUCUUCAACAAAACACAAGGAAGAAAUGAGCAGAGAGAUGUUGUUUGUUUUAGUAAAGUGUUUCUGGGUUCUCCAUUGUUAUUAUUAGGUGAAGAAGAAUUAAGAGGGGGGAGGGAGUGAGUUGGUGUGAGUGUGUCAGUGAGCACUCUUUGAAUCAUGUGACUUGUUC
Molecule: long non-coding RNA, 4843 nt
Filed under: Arachis ipaensis
Lineage: Eukaryota; Viridiplantae; Streptophyta; Magnoliopsida; Fabales; Fabaceae
Description: long non-coding RNA (AIPA_LNC000882)
Source: RNAcentral